Long non-coding RNA from Danio rerio (zebrafish), 441 nucleotides. NCBI's taxonomy places the organism in Eukaryota, Metazoa, Chordata, Actinopteri, Cypriniformes, Danionidae. The record is from Ensembl.
CACGCUACCAUACAAAGCUGCUUUCCCUGAGCAGUUUCGACACCAACUUGUUUCAAGUAGCGCAACAGCUCUGGGAAAUCAGUUCAAUUUAGCCAUGCCUAGCUGGAGCUCCUCCACAAAGAAAGAGACCUCCUUAAUACCAGCUUAGGAAGCACUCCCACCUUCCUGUCAACCACAGUUCUGUCUCUAUUUGAGCACACCUCAAGGCAUUUGAAGUCUUCUCCUUACGGCAGCCAGCUGCGAUGCAUUUAAGCACCUGAUUACAAGGGUGCUCUUGCUAAAAGGAGCAAUGGCAGAGAGAGACUUCCAGUGCAGACUUUAAGAUGCUGCAAUCUAAUCGUGGGAAAGACACUUGCUCCUGAGCAGAUUCGAGCUUGGGGAUGUGUUGCUGUCACACCAACGAGUCUGCCGUGAGUUUCAGAGAACACAUAAUACUGACUA